AAAUGAGGAAUCCGACGUAAACUUCAAAGCCAUAAGCAUAAAUUAUGAAGGUGAACCAAAUGUUGCAGUACACAGUAAUGAAACUGGCCACCAACAAAAAGUGGAAAAGGAGCAAGUACGCAGACCAAGCGACUACGUUCGGCGGGAGGCAGCAUUACGGGUAAGGUACCUAGAGAAGAGAGAGAAGCUUAAGCUUGAAUUAGUCAAAACACAGUUGGAAGUUGAGCAAAUAAAAAAAAGAGCAGCCUUGUUGGAAGAGCAAAAAAACCAAGUAUUACUACAAAAGGCUAAAAUAGAUUUUGA
This is a long non-coding RNA of Rhagoletis pomonella (apple maggot), 303 nucleotides long. RefSeq lists it as uncharacterized. The transcript is spliced from 3 exons. The record is from RefSeq and is a predicted model, not a curated record. Lineage: Eukaryota; Metazoa; Arthropoda; Insecta; Diptera; Tephritidae.